UCUGUUUUGUAUAGGAAUUUCUAAUACAAGUUUUUUUUUUCCCUUUUUAUUAAGGAAGAAGGCAGCUGAUUACAGUACCAUAGCACUGAUAAAACUCCUGCAACACUUACAAAACAAACUUAACUUCUGCUUUUUCAUCUGAACCCUCUUAUCACAAAGAGAGAACUAUGUGCACAUUUACCUUUAAGGUGUCUUUUCAGCUAUUUGACUCCAGGGUGCACACAAGAAAUGCAGCCUAAAGUGGAAGCAGGAAUAUUCAGUAUGUAGACUGCAACAUAUCUGUUGAGAGAAACUUCUUCAAUACUAUUAAUAAUGUGUGUCAUUGCUGUUCUGAGUUUCUACAUCAUCAACAGGAUUUCUGCUAUUGCAUUUUUAAGAUAGCUUGCAAUGACACCAGGAGAGACAACAUAGAUGGUCCCUGUUCCUACCUACAAAAACACGCAGAGUUGAGCAAUUUAGGAGAGGUGACUGUACAGUUUUAACUUUAUACUGAUUAACCAGUGAUGUAAGAUCAUUAAGUAGUUGUGUGUUAUAACCCCGCCACAUGCAUGAGCAAGGGAAAAACUUCCAUUGUUUUUUACAUUUUGUUUAAAAAGCAAAAACAAGAAUACGUAAAAUUGGAUUUUUAGUUACUUUUGAAACAUUACUUAUAACUUAAAAAGGGUCAUCACAUGAGUGAAUGGAGAAGUACUACCUGGGUUGAGUGGCAGGGUUAAAACACACAAGUACCAAUCAUUUUUCUGUUUCACAAAUGAUUUUACUUGAAUGGGACUGGAAAAAUGAAAACCGUUAUUAUCUAACACUGCACAGUAUUUAAAUAUGGAUUUCAUUAUAUAACCAUAGUCUAGGCAAACAAACAUUACCUUGUUUAUUAGAAAUUAUCUGCAUUUGUCAUUAAUUAUUA
This is a long non-coding RNA of Polypterus senegalus (gray bichir), 904 nucleotides long. RefSeq lists it as uncharacterized. The transcript is spliced from 3 exons. NCBI's taxonomy places the organism in Eukaryota, Metazoa, Chordata, Cladistia, Polypteriformes, Polypteridae. The record is from RefSeq and is a predicted model, not a curated record.